RNAcentral lists this transfer RNA (76 nucleotides) under Francisella tularensis subsp. holarctica. RNAcentral's name for it is "tRNA-Thr". It matches the Rfam family "tRNA". From Rfam's summary of the family: Transfer RNA (tRNA) molecules are approximately 80 nucleotides in length. Their secondary structure includes four short double-helical elements and three loops (D, anti-codon, and T loops). The record is from RNAcentral. Lineage: Bacteria; Pseudomonadati; Pseudomonadota; Gammaproteobacteria; Thiotrichales; Francisellaceae.
GCCUACUUAGCUCAAUAGGUAGAGCAACUGACUUGUAAUCAGUAGGUCGCCUGUUCGAUUCCUGCAGUCGGCACCA